CGGGAGCGAGUAAAGCGGCGCACGGGUGAGUAACGCGUGGGUAAUCUGCCCGAAGGUCUGGGAUAACUCCGGGAAACUGGGGCUAAUACCGGAUGAGACCACGCUGUCUGCGGACAGCGCGGGAAAAGGUGGCCUCUGCUUGCAAGCUACCGCCUACGGAUGAGCCCGCGUCCCAUUAGCUAGUUGGCGGGGUAACGGCCCACCAAGGCUGAGAUGGGUAGCUGGUCUGAGAGGACGACCAGCCACACUGGAACUGAGACACGGUCCAGACUCCUACGGGAGGCAGCAGUCGGGAAUUUUGGGCAAUGGGCGAAAGCCUGACCCAGCGACGCCGCGUGAGGGAUGAAGGCCUUCGGGUCGUAAACCUCUGUCGGAAGGGGCGAAAGGUUCUUGGGCGAAUAGGCCAAGGGCUUGACGGUACCUUCAAAGGAAGCGCCGGCUAACUCCGUGCCAGCAGCCGCGGUAAUACGGAGGGCGCAAGCGUUGUUCGGAAUUACUGGGCGUAAAGCGCGUGUAGGCGGCCUGACAAGUCGGGUGUGAAAUCCCGGAGCUCAACUCCGGAACUGCAUCCGAUACUGUCAGGCUCGAGUCUCGGAGAGGAUGGCGGAAUUUCCGGUGUAGCGGUGAAAUGCGUAGAGAUCGGGAGGAAGGCCGGUGGCGAAGGCGGCGCUCUGG
This 675-nucleotide ribosomal RNA is filed under the name uncultured bacterium. RNAcentral describes it as "bacterial SSU rRNA". It matches the Rfam family "Bacterial small subunit ribosomal RNA", at positions 81 to 732 of the family's 1533-position model. The record is from RNAcentral.